GAUAACCGCUGAAAGCAUCUAAGCGGGAAGCCCCCUUCAAGAUGAGAUCUCACUGGACGUAAGUCCCUAAAGAGCCGUUCAAGACUAGGACGUUGAUAGGCUGGGUGUGUAAGCGUUGUGAGGCGUUGAGCUAACCAGUACUAAUUGCUCGUGAGGCUUGACCAUAUAACGCCAAAGACGUUG
RNAcentral lists this ribosomal RNA (183 nucleotides) under Oceanospirillaceae bacterium. RNAcentral's name for it is "partial 23S ribosomal RNA". It matches the Rfam family "Bacterial large subunit ribosomal RNA", at positions 2763 to 2925 of the family's 2925-position model. The record is from RNAcentral. Lineage: Bacteria; Pseudomonadati; Pseudomonadota; Gammaproteobacteria; Oceanospirillales; Oceanospirillaceae.